RNAcentral lists this ribosomal RNA (239 nucleotides) under uncultured bacterium. Its description in RNAcentral is "partial small subunit ribosomal RNA". It matches the Rfam family "Bacterial small subunit ribosomal RNA", at positions 26 to 287 of the family's 1533-position model. The record is from RNAcentral.
AGAGCGAACGCUGGCGGCAUGCUUAACACAUGCAAGUCGCACGGCUGGGGUAACCCAGCAGUGGCGGACGGGUGAGUAACGCGUAGGUAUCUAUCUCCGGGUGGGGGACAACUGUGGGAAACUACAGCUAAUACCGCAUGAUGCCCGAGGGCCAAAAGCAGCAAAUGCGCCUGGAGAGGAGCCUGCGUACGAUUAGCUUGUUGGCGGGGUAAUGGCCCACCAAGGCGACGAUCGUUAGC